GCAUUGAUAGUGUAGGGGUAUCAUGAGUCGUUGCCAGUCUCAUACAUCUGUGUUAAGGUGUGUUAAAUCCACUCGAUUCGACUCGACCGGGGUUCGAGUCCCCGUCAAUGCA
Non-coding RNA from Ustilago hordei, 112 nucleotides. The record is from the annotation of a RefSeq genome assembly. Lineage: Eukaryota; Fungi; Basidiomycota; Ustilaginomycetes; Ustilaginales; Ustilaginaceae.